This 459-nucleotide ribosomal RNA is filed under the name uncultured bacterium. RNAcentral describes it as "partial 16S ribosomal RNA". It matches the Rfam family "Bacterial small subunit ribosomal RNA", at positions 338 to 795 of the family's 1533-position model. The record is from RNAcentral.
CCUACGGGUGGCAGCAGUGAGGAAUAUUGGGCAAUGGCCGAGAGGCUGAACCAGCCAAGUCGCGUGAGGGAAGACGGCCCUACGGGUGGUAAACCCCUUUUGUAGGGGAGCAAAGCGAACCACGUGUGGAUCAUUGAGAGGACCCGAAGAAAAAGCAUCGGCUAACUCCGUGCCAGCAGCCGCGGAAAUACGGAGGGUGCGAGCGUUAUGCGGAUUUAUUGGGUUGAAAGUGUGCGCAGGGGGAGGUGCAAGUCAGCGGUCAAAUUGCGGGGCUCAACCCCGUACUGCCGUUGAAACUGCAUCCCUUGAGUGCGCGAGAAGUAUGCGGAAUGCGUGGUGUAGCGGUGAAAUGCAUAGAUAUCACGCAGAACUCCGAUUGCGAAGGCAGCAUACCGGCGCGCAACUGACGCUCAUGCACGAAAGCGUGGGUAUCGAACAGGAUUAGAUACCCUGGUAGUC